RNAcentral lists this ribosomal RNA (501 nucleotides) under uncultured bacterium. RNAcentral describes it as "bacterial SSU rRNA". It matches the Rfam family "Bacterial small subunit ribosomal RNA", at positions 30 to 518 of the family's 1533-position model. The record is from RNAcentral.
AUUGAACGCUGGCGGCAGGCCUAACACGAUGCAAGUCGAACGGUAACAGGAAGCAGCUUGCUGCUUGCUGACGAGUGGCGGACGGGUGAGGUAAUGUCUGGGAAACUGCCUGAUGAGGGGGAUAACUACUGGAAACGGUAGCUAAUACCGCAUAACGUCGCAAGACCAAAGAGGGGGACCUUCGGGCCUCUUGCCAUCAGAUGUGCCCAGAUGGGAUUAGCUUGUUGGUGGGGUAACGGCUCACCAAGGCGACGAUCCCUAGCUGGUCUGAGAGGAUGACCAGCCACACUGGAACUGAGACACGGUCCAGACUCCUACGGGAGGCAGCAGUGGGGAAUAUUGCACAAUGGGCGCAAGCCUGAUGCAGCCAUGCCGCGUGUAUGAAGAAGGCCUUCGGGUUGUAAAGUACUUUCAGCGGGGAGGAAGGUGUUGUGGUUAAUAACCACAGCAAUUGACGUUACCCGCAGAAGAAGCACCGGCUAACUCCGUGCCAGCCGCCGC